UCGAACGGUGAACACGGAGCUUGCUCUGUGGGAUCAGUGGCGAACGGGUGAGUAACACGUGAGCAACCUGCCCCUGACUCUGGGAUAAGCGCUGGAAACGGCGUCUAAUACUGGAUACGAACCAUGAAGGCAUCUUCAGUGGUUGGAAAGAUUUAUUGGUUGGGGAUGGGCUCGCGGCCUAUCAGCUUGUUGGUGAGGUAAUGGCUCACCAAGGCGUCGACGGGUAGCCGGCCUGAGAGGGUGACCGGCCACACUGGGACUGAGACACGGCCCAGACUCCUACGGGAGGCAGCAGUGGGGAAUAUUGCACAAUGGGCGCAAGCCUGAUGCAGCAACGCCGCGUGAGGGAUGACGGCCUUCGGGUUGUAAACCUCUUUUAGCAGGGAAGAAGCGAAAGUGACGGUACCUGCAGAAAAAGCGCCGGCUAACUACGUGCCAGCAGCCGCGGUAAUACGUAGGGCGCAAGCGUUAUCCGGAAUUAUUGGGCGUAAAGAGCUCGUAGGCGGUUUGUCGCGUCUGCUGUGAAAUCCGGAGGCUCAACCUCCGGCCUGCAGUGGGUACGGGCAGACUAGAGUGCGGUAGGGGAGAUUGGAAUUCCUGGUGUAGCGGUGGAAUGCGCAGAUAUCAGGAGGAACACCGAUGGCGAAGGCAGAUCUCUGGGCCGUAACUGACGCUGAGGAGCGAAAGGGUGGGGAGCAAACAGGCUUAGAUACCCUGGUAGUCCACCCCGUAAACGUUGGGAACUAGUUGUGGGGUCCAUUCCACGGAUUCCGUGACGCAGCUAACGCAUUAAGUUCCCCGCCUGGGGAGUACGGCCGCAAGGCUAAAACUCAAAGGAAUUGACGGGGACCCGCACAAGCGGCGGAGCAUGCGGAUUAAUUCGAUGCAACGCGAGACCUUACCAAGGCUUGACAUAUACGAGACGGGCCAG
RNAcentral lists this ribosomal RNA (931 nucleotides) under Microbacterium sp. Its description in RNAcentral is "bacterial SSU rRNA". It matches the Rfam family "Bacterial small subunit ribosomal RNA", at positions 62 to 1003 of the family's 1533-position model. RNAcentral also lists the same sequence under 1 other name. The record is from RNAcentral. Lineage: Bacteria; Bacillati; Actinomycetota; Actinomycetes; Micrococcales; Microbacteriaceae.